UGUACUCCAGAAAGCGUUGGAGGAGGGUACAACAUCUGAUCAACGAGUUCUGGGAUCGUUGGAGAAAGGAGUUUCUCCAGAACUUACAGACACGCCAGAAAUGGACUCGGCCCCGACGGGAUGCUAAGAUUGGGGAUAUCGUCAUCAUGAAAGACGAGAACUUGCCACGAAAUCAAUGGUCCCUAGCAAGGAUAAGCGAGGUCUUUCCUUCUACCGAUGGACUCAUUCGUAAAGUGAAGCUCGUAAAGGGUGACUCCGAACUUGACGACAGCGGUAAGCGUAAAGGACCUGUGAAAGAACUAGAGCGUCCGAUACACAAACUGGUUUUGCUGCUUCCGCGUGAAGACCAGGACGGAUUCCCGACCAAGGAGCCUUGAAUACUGUAAGGUAAUUAAUAUCCCUCACAAAUAGGUUUUGAUAGAUUUAAGUAAAUAUAGAAGUCUGAACAUAAGACUAUCCAAAAUUCGAAUUACCCGCAAAAUCUGAAAGUCUAGAAUAAGACUAGUCAAAUAAUCUAAUUGAAGUUUUAGAACCAAGAAUAUCUGUAAUUGGUCUGUAACAAAGACUAUGCUGGAACUGUAACUACAGACGCACAUCAGCUGAAAUGAAGUCUAAUUGAACUGAGUAAACUCUUGAACUAAUUGAUCUGAUUGAACAACAACAAGAACUCUUUUUGUGGAUUGACGACAUUUCCGAAUGAGCUGUAAUGACCUUUAUUGCUGUUUGUUUUUUGUUCUCUGUUUGAAAAAAUGUAAUCUUAUCAAAUUGGAAGAUCGAGCAUAUGACAACUAUAUUUGUAGAAAACGGAAAUUAAGUUGAUAUACCUCAUUUUAUCGCAUUAAUUACCUUGCAAAAAAUUACAAUGUGAUUGCACUUAUAAGAAUGUAUUUAAAGGGUAUUUCAGUUCAAUUUCAUCAUUAUGCUUGUAUGUAUUGUAUACAUGAAUGAGCAUUAGAUGUGAACCUGAAUUGAAACCCCCCUUUUGCAACGUAAAUUCAUGCAGAGUAUUUGAACUGAGAGUUGAUCCAGGUUAUUUUCUCGAUUUCUAAAUCCAGUACUUGCAAAUACAGCUAAUUGCUAGUCAUAAAUGGUGAGUUGCAAGGUCUGAGUGUUUGAGACUCGCGGUUAAAUUUAAUUUAACUCAGAUGCUGUAAUAAGAUACUUGGUACAAGCUCUGUACUAGAGAUGAAGUAAUCUCACGAUACAAUUUGAACUGUAAAUCUUGAAUAAAGAUUUGUUUUCCUGCAUGCGCAAUUGAUCAUGUACGUUUCAAGAUAAGUAGAAAUUGAAAUUUUGAGAUGUAGAUCUAUAUGUAUACAUAUAUUGAUAUAUUUUGAACUAUUAAUGUUGAUAAGGAACAAAUAAUCCAAGUCAUUUCUAUGAAGCUAAAAAGGGGUAAAUUAAUUAUUAAUUUAAAGGAGCCAUGUUAAUGUGAUCGUUUAUGAGAGUUAGUUUAUCUGACAAAAAGGAGUAUUCUGACUUACGUCAUGGGCUGAAAUAGCGCCAUCUACGCUUUCCUAAUUCCGACAUAGCAGUAGCAACGAAUUGGAUGUUCGCACCGAAAUCUUGUCCUAAAUUACACCUGUUAUUGAUACGAAGCCAACCCGUUUGCAACAAUAAGGAGGCAAGAAGUUUUCACGGAGCAAGUGUGAUGGAAUUAGUUGACAUAGAAUAAAUUAGCAAGUCAACCCUACUACGACUUUUCAUUGACUGUUUCUUCAC
This 1722-nucleotide long non-coding RNA is filed under the name Strongylocentrotus purpuratus (purple sea urchin). RNAcentral's name for it is "uncharacterized LOC115921062". Lineage: Eukaryota; Metazoa; Echinodermata; Echinoidea; Camarodonta; Strongylocentrotidae. The record is from RNAcentral.